UACGAACUGUGCAAACGUUAUUCGGAAUCACUGGGCUUAAAGGGUGCGUAGGCGGCUUGUCAAGUAGGGUGUGAAAGCCCCCGGCUUAACCGGGGUAACGUGCGCCCUAAACCUAGGCGAGCUGGAGUGAGAUAGGGGUGUGUGGAACUUCCGGUGGAGCGGUGAAAUGUGUUGAUAUCGGAAGGAACGCCGGUGGCGAAAGCGACACACUGGGUCUCAACUGACGCUGAGGCACGAAAGCCAGGGGAGCAAACGGGAUUAGAAACCCUUGUAGU
This 275-nucleotide ribosomal RNA is filed under the name uncultured bacterium. Its description in RNAcentral is "partial 16S ribosomal RNA". It matches the Rfam family "Bacterial small subunit ribosomal RNA", at positions 524 to 794 of the family's 1533-position model. The record is from RNAcentral.